Lontra canadensis (Northern American river otter) is the source of this 107-nucleotide small nuclear RNA. The record is from RefSeq and is a predicted model, not a curated record. Lineage: Eukaryota; Metazoa; Chordata; Mammalia; Carnivora; Mustelidae.
GUGUUCCCUGCAGCAGCACAGAUACUCAAAUUGGAACCACAGGGGGAAGAUUAGCAUGACCCCUGCACAAGGAUGACCAGUAUCAUUUGGCAACACUGGAGCUGAAA